Molecule: ribosomal RNA, 433 nt
Filed under: uncultured bacterium
Lineage: Bacteria
Description: partial 16S ribosomal RNA
Rfam family: Bacterial small subunit ribosomal RNA
Source: RNAcentral
AACGAACGCUGGCGGCAUGCCUAACACAUGCAAGUCGAACGAGACCUUCGGGUCUAGUGGCGCACGUGUGCGUAACGCGUGGGAACCUGCCCUUAGGUUCGGAAUAACUCCCCGAAAGGGGUGCUAAUACCGGAUAAUGUCUUCGGACCAAAGAUUUAUCGCCUUUGGAUGGGCCCGCGUUGGAUUAGCUAGUUGGUAGGGUAAAAGCCUACCAAGGCGACGAUCCAUAGCUGGUCUGAGAGGAUGAUCAGCCACACUGGGACUGAGACACGGCCCAGACUCCUACGGGAGGCAGCAGUGGGGAAUAUUGGACGAUGGGCGAAAGCCUGAUACAGCAAUGCCGCGUGAGUGAUGAAGGCCUUAGGGUUGUAAAGCUCUUUUAGCCGGGAUGAUAAUGACAGUACCGGGAGAAUAAGCUCCGGCUAACUCCGUG